Molecule: ribosomal RNA, 2907 nt
Filed under: Triticum aestivum (bread wheat)
Lineage: Eukaryota; Viridiplantae; Streptophyta; Magnoliopsida; Poales; Poaceae
Description: partial small subunit ribosomal RNA
Source: RNAcentral
AUGUCCGCCGCCGGCGACGGGGAAGAUGGCGCCGCCGCCGCCGCCGCCGACACGGUGGUCCUGGAGAUCACCGACGCGGCAGCAUCCCCAUCCUCCGCGCCCCCACCUCCCCCCAUCCCCGUCUCCGCCCUCGCCGGCCCCCUCCCGUCCCCGACAGUCCUCGCGGUCCGCGCCGACCGGAGCAGGCUCAUCGAGAGCUCCUCCUACUUCCGCGCCCUCCUCGGCGGCAGCUUCAGCGAAUCGGGCAGCGGCUACGUGCGGAUCAGCUGCGACCUCGGUGCCGCCGUGCAGGUACUCCGGUACCUCUUCGAGCCUCCCGGGAGCUUCGCGAUCUCGCAUCACAACUUCCUGCCGCUGCUGGAGGGUGCUCUGUUUCUCGCUGUCGAGAGCCUUCUAGUGGACUGUGAAAGGUGGUUCAGAACCGUGAGAUCUCGAAAUCCCUCCAUGGUGGUACCGUUGGAUUUCAUAAUCGAGGCCUGGUUCUUCGCUCAAAAGCAUGGGGUUACUUUUGUUGAAGACGUAUGCCCAGGAUAUCUAGCUCAGAAUUUUGUACAAGUUAUCUCCAGUAGGUCAUUUGUUCAUAUACCUUAUGAUCUGCUGUGCUCCACCAUUGAAUCCCCACACCUGACUGUGGAUAGUGAAAAGCAAUUGUGUGAAGCAAUUUUAUCUUGGAUUUCCGCAAGUAGGCAAUCCUGUGAACAAUCAGUCUCCAACUCAGCAGAUAACCAACUCUCCCUUCUUAGCAAGGUUAGGGUAUGCCUUUUACCUUUAGGAUUUGCAGCAGGUACAAAGAGAAACUGCUUUGAAUUUGGGAACAAUGCUGCAUGUAUGAUUCUUAAUCUGCUUAAGGACAGUUUGCAAACUCUACUGUAUACAGUUACCGAUGACAACUUGGAUAGUUACCGUAUUCGAUUAACAGAAUACUCCAAGAAAAUAGUACUUUCGGGAUGUCCCCAGUUAACUACGCAAUUCCUAUACAUAUCGGCGCUCCCCACUGAUCUAGAUGCUGUAUUUAAGAGAACUAUAGUGAGCGAUGUUAACGAUGGAUGUUUGAACCAUUACAAUGGGCUGGUGAAGAAGGCUAAAACCUUGUCAUUUAGAAAUGUACGCAUUGUGGAUCUCUCCAAAUGUCCAAAUGUACAUUUUGGUGCAGCAAUUUUAUGGAUGAAGUGGGCAUUUCCAGAAUUGAGGACAUUCAUAGCUUCCUAUUGUUUACUCUUUCAGUUUGAAGAUUUGCAGUAUUUGUUACUGAGAUGUCCAUGGAUUAAUGAAAUCAAUUUGAGUAUUGAUACAAGCGUUAUACUAUCCAAGUACUCGAUUAUAUCUUCUAGAUCUGAAGUACGGCGUGACGUGAAUCAAAAUCUAUCUAGCUAUUACAUGCAAAGUGGAUUAUAUGGGACCUCAGUAAACCCAGUUUUCUCAAAUAUAUCAAAAUUGAUACUGGAAGGCCGAAAUGAUAUUACUGAUAUGAACUUGCUGGAGAUAUCCAUGCUGAAAAGUUCCCUGUGUUAUAUAAACAUUAAACAUUGCACCCUGUUGACAGACGAUGGUAUAUCUACACUACUGUUGAAUUGUAGAAAAAUGCACUCGAUGAUUCUUUCUUAUACAUCGUUUGGAAAUCAUUCAAUUCAAACCCUAUGCUCAUUGGAUCCUUCAGAUGGCUUUUCUUACCAUAAGGAUGAACAUGCUCAUGUUAUGGCAUUUAGGUUGCAAGAAUUGCAUCUGGAAGGCUGUGAAGGUAUUAGUUGUGCUGCUAUGUCCCAGCUAGUGAGUAAUAUGAAUAUUGUGAAGUCCUUAUGCUUAAGGGAGACAUCACUUGCAGAUGGUGCUCUCUGCAACUUCGUUGGCUCUUCACUUGAGUAUCUUGAUAUUUCGGAGACUGUGGUUUCUAUGGUCUCAUUUGCACCAGUUAUACGAAGAAACUCUAAUUUGAGCUGCUUGAAAACAGCUGGAUGCCGUAACCUACUGUUUGAACAGGGUGAGGUACAAUCCACGAGCGGUAACAAGUAUGGCAGGUUUCUUCAGGAGAUAACCAGUACGUGCUAUUUAGAGGAUGUAGAAAUGGGCUGGGCAUUUUGCCCUGUUCGAGUUGAUGACCUCAUUCCUUCUUUUAGUAAAGUAAGGCGGAUGACAGUUGGCCUUGGCACAACAUUACCAGAGAAUAUCCUGCAUGCUCUUCCUGAGAUCUGCCCGUUUCUCGAGUCUUUGGUUCUUAGGUUUCAGGUAAUCUCUGACAGAGUUGUAAGAAAUCUAUUGGAAUCGUCAACAAAUCUUCAGGUGCUAUGCCUGCACUAUUGCCUCGGCAGUUUGACUUCAUUUAGCUUUCAAACAAUGGCACCAGCAUUAAGAAUAUUACGGCUCCAGUGGGUUACUCCAUGGAUCACAAAUGAUGAUCUGACAAUUCUUACACAGAAUUGCAAUUUAGUUGAACUUUUGCUGUCUGGUUGCAAACUCCUUGACUCCAACUCUCAAGAGAUAAUCUCUUCUGGGUGGCCAAACUUGGCAUGUUUACAACUUGAGGAAUGUGGUCAGAUAACACUUGAUGGGGUUGAUUCUAUUUUAGAUUGUAAAGCUUUGGAAGAAGUCUUGCUUAGGCACACCGGUAGAGGUAUUGGAAGAACCAUUAUAACAGAUGCUAUCAGAGAGCUGCCGCUCCUAAGGAAGCUGGCGCUGGAUCUCUGCGACGCGUCCGAGGGAGGCUACGACACCCCGAACGUUCCGGAGGGGAAGAUGAUGAGGAGCGUGAGGAUGAGCAGGUGCAAGAAGUCGGCGGCAGCGGCGAGGUCGUGCUUCGUAGAGGCGUCCUCCUCGAGUUCGAACCCGAAGCCGGUGCAGCACAGGGAGACCAUCGUGCUGGAGUGGAGCAGCCGGCAGCUGACGACCGCCGUAGUGGAAGAAAGACUCUAG